UACGAAGGGUGCUAGCGUUGUUCGGAAUUACUGGGCGUAAAGCGCGCGUAGGCGGCUUUUCAAGUCAGGGGUGAAAUCCCACGGCUCAACCGUGGAAUUGCCUUUGAAACUGUGAAGCUAGAGUGUCGGAGGGGAUAGCGGAAUUGCUAAUGUAGAGGUGAAAUUCGUAGAUAUUCGCAAGAACACCAGUGGCGAAGGCGGCUCACUGGCCCGGUACUGACGCUCAGGCACGAAAGCGUGGGGAGCAAAAGGG
This 253-nucleotide ribosomal RNA is filed under the name uncultured bacterium. RNAcentral describes it as "partial 16S ribosomal RNA". It matches the Rfam family "Bacterial small subunit ribosomal RNA", at positions 524 to 776 of the family's 1533-position model. The record is from RNAcentral.